GACGAACGCUGGCGGCGUGCUUCAUACAUGCAAGUCGAACGAGAAGCUAGAGCUUGCUCUAGUGGAAAGUGGCGGACGGGUGAGUAAUAUGUAGGAAAUCUGCCUAGAGAGGGGGACAACAGAAGGAAACUUCUGCUAAUACCCCAUAUGAGCUUGGUUGAAAUACCAAUCUUGAAAACUCCGGUGGUCUGGGAUGGACCCGCGUCCGAUUAGUUAGUUGGUGGGGUAACGGCCCACCAAGACUGCGAUCGGUAGCCGACCUGAGAGGGUGACCGGCCACAUUGGGACUGAGACACGGCCCAGACUCCUACGGGAGGCAGCAGUGGGGAAUAUUGCACAAUGGAGGAAACUCUGAUGCAGCGACGCCGCGUGAGCGAAGAAGUAUUUCGGUAUGUAAAGCUCUGUCAGCAGGGAAGAUAAUGACGGUACCUGACCAAGAAGCCCCGGCUAACUACGUG
Molecule: ribosomal RNA, 458 nt
Filed under: uncultured bacterium
Lineage: Bacteria
Description: bacterial SSU rRNA
Rfam family: Bacterial small subunit ribosomal RNA
Source: RNAcentral